AGUUUGCGGAAAGGAUUAAUGGAUCUGAACAUGUCAAAUUAUUGUGAUAUUGGUAAUGUUCUCAUUUGUCUUUAUAUAUCAUCCAUUUUUUAUGGGCCUUUUCACACCUUCAUUGUGCACAACAAUAUUGUUAAGAUUAUUCCCCAUACUCAAAGAUGAUAUUUGAUAAUGUAUGCUUAAAACUCCGAAAGGGGGGAACUUCAGUUGGUAUGGUACAGGCUUUU
Molecule: unclassified non-coding RNA, 224 nt
Filed under: Hevea brasiliensis (rubber tree)
Lineage: Eukaryota; Viridiplantae; Streptophyta; Magnoliopsida; Malpighiales; Euphorbiaceae
Source: RNAcentral